CUACGGGUCGCUCCAGUGGGGAAUUUUGCGCAAUGGGCGAAAGCCUGACGCAGCAAUACCGCGUGAGUGAAGAAGGCCUUUGGGUCGUAAAGCUCUUUUCUGGGGGAAGAUAGUGACGGUACCCCAGGAAUAAGCACCGGCUAACUCCGUGCCAGCAGCCGCGGUAAUACGGAGGGUGCAAGCGUUGUUCGGAUUUACUGGGCGUAAAGGGCACGUAGGCGGCACAGCAAGUUAAGGGUGAAAUCCCGGGGCUCAACUCCGGAACUGCUCUUAAAACUGCUGAGCUAGAGAUGGUCAGAGGCGGGUAGAAUUCCUGGUGUAGAGGUGAAAUUCGUAGAUAUCAGGAGGAAUACCGGUGGCGAAGGCGGCCCGCUGGGGCCAUUCUGACGCUAAGGUGCGAAAGCGUGGGGAGCGAACGGGAUUAGAUACCCCAGUAGUC
RNAcentral lists this ribosomal RNA (439 nucleotides) under uncultured bacterium. Its description in RNAcentral is "partial 16S ribosomal RNA". It matches the Rfam family "Bacterial small subunit ribosomal RNA", at positions 339 to 795 of the family's 1533-position model. The record is from RNAcentral.